UACGUAGGGGGCAAGCGUUAUCCGGAUUUACUGGGUGUAAAGGGAGCGUAGACGGCAGCGCAAGUCUGGAGUGAAAUCCCAUGGCUUAACCAUGGAACUGCUUUGGAAGCUGUGCAGCUGGAGUGCAGGAGAGGUAAGCGGAAUUCCUAGUGUAGCGGUGAAAUGCGUAGAUAUUAGGAGGAACACCGGUGGCGAAAGCGGCUCUCUGGCCUGUAACUGACACUGAGGCUCGAAAGCGUGGGGAGCAAACAGG
RNAcentral lists this ribosomal RNA (253 nucleotides) under uncultured bacterium. Its description in RNAcentral is "partial 16S ribosomal RNA". It matches the Rfam family "Bacterial small subunit ribosomal RNA", at positions 524 to 776 of the family's 1533-position model. The record is from RNAcentral.